This 470-nucleotide ribosomal RNA is filed under the name uncultured organism. Its description in RNAcentral is "partial 16S ribosomal RNA". It matches the Rfam family "Bacterial small subunit ribosomal RNA", at positions 335 to 797 of the family's 1533-position model. The record is from RNAcentral.
ACUCCUGCGGGAGGCAACAGUGGGGAAUUUUGGACAAUGGGCGAAAGCCUGAUCCAGCAAUGCCGCGUGUGUGAAGAAGGCCUUCGGGUUGUAAAGCACUUUUGUCCGGAAAGAAAUCCUUGGCUCUAAUACAGUCGGGGGAUGACGGUACCGGAAGAAUAAGCACCGGCUAACUACGUGCCAGCAGCCGCGGUAAUACGUAGGGUGCGAGCGUUAAUCGGAAUUACUGGGCGUAAAGCGUGCGCAGGCGGUUUGCUAAGACCGAUGUGAAAUCCCCGGGCUCAACCUGGGAACUGCAUUGGUGACUGGCAGGCUAGAGUAUGGCAGAGGGGGGUAGAAUUCCACGUGUAGCAGUGAAAUGCGUAGAGAUGGGGAGGAAUACCGAUGGCGAAGGCAGCCCCCUGGGCCAAUACUGACGCUCAUGCACGAAAGCGUGGGGAGCAAACAGGAUUAGAAACCCCAGUAGUCCC